Brachypodium distachyon (stiff brome) is the source of this 133-nucleotide non-coding RNA. Lineage: Eukaryota; Viridiplantae; Streptophyta; Magnoliopsida; Poales; Poaceae. The record is from Rfam.
AAUGUACUUCCUCCGUCCAACAAAAAAUGUCUCAACUUUGACUAAAUUUGAAUGCAUUUAUACACUAAAUCAUUUCUAGAUACAUUCAAAAUUUGACAAAUUUGAGACAUUUUUUGUUGUACCGGAGUACAUA